RNAcentral lists this ribosomal RNA (500 nucleotides) under uncultured bacterium. RNAcentral's name for it is "partial 16S ribosomal RNA". It matches the Rfam family "Bacterial small subunit ribosomal RNA", at positions 30 to 523 of the family's 1533-position model. The record is from RNAcentral.
AUUGAACGCUGGCGGCAUGCCUUACACAUGCAAGUCGAACGGCAGCACGGGAGCAAUCCUGGUGGCGAGUGGCGAACGGGUGAGUAAAGUAUCGGAACGUGCCCAGUCGUGGGGGAUAACGUAGCGAAAGUUACGCUAAUACCGCAUACGAUCUAUGGAUGAAAGCGGGGGAUCGCAAGACCUCGCGCGAUUGGAGCGGCCGAUAUCAGAUUAGGUAGUUGGUGGGGUAAAGGCUCACCAAGCCGACGAUCUGUAGCUGGUCUGAGAGGACGACCAGCCGCACUGGGACUGAGACACGGCCCAGAAUCCUACGGGAGGCAGCAGUGGGGAAUUUUGGAGAAUGGGCGAAAGCCUGAUCCAGCCAUGCCGCGUGCAGGAUGAAGGCCUUCGGGUUGUAAACUGCUUUUGUACGGAACGAAAAGGUUUGGCCUAAUAAGCUGAGCUCAUGACGGUACCGUAAGAAUAAGCACCGGCUAACUACGUGCCAGCCGCCGCGGUAA